AGUAAGGUUAGUUAACACAUCCGUUACCUUACAUAGUUUCAUUUUUUUUCCUCUAUCAUCUGUUUUUUCAAACAUACAGUACAGUAUUGUUAACUACAGUCACCUGACUGUAUAUUACAUCCACAGAAUUUGUUCAUUUUAUUUUUAUAACUGGAAGUUUACUCUUUAUAACUGGAAGUGUACUCUUUUUCACCAUCUUAUUUCCAAAUUUUAUAGUGAUAAUAUGAAGUGUAAAAACCGCAUAUCUGUUAAGAUGAUAAACAAAUAAGCAUAGUGGGAUAUGUAUCUUUUUAUGCAUUUUGAAUUAUUUCCUUGGUCUGAAUUUUCGGAAGGAAAUGGCCUUGAGAGCCAAACUGGCCUCUGAAGAAUUUGACAAAAGCACACGAUAGCUUUCACAGCAGAGGGCUUGCUUCACUGAACCCUCCUGGUCAGCAGCAGGUAUAAAAAGAACAAAACGCAAAACAAGACAGUCUUAUUUUGAGAGAGGAGAUUUUGCAGCUGCAGGAGCUGCUGUUGAGCUCACUUCUGCAGGUAAGAUGCCUUCAAAUGGCCCUGGACACAGAGAGGAGAAACCGUCAGAGCAGCUAGAGAUGGCAAGCCUGUGAUGAUCAGAGCCAACAUAGAAAAUCUAGGAUAUAGUGAAGCAAAGAAGAGGAAAAUAAAACAGUCCUUUAGUCCUAUCCCCAAAGAUACAACUGACAACCUCUACUGUAUCGCCUUCCAGAUUCUCUCUCUCUUACAAUUGGGGCCAUACUUUAGUCUAAUAAUAUUCUGUGCCUUUUAAAAAACAGUCUUUUCUUGUCAUUAUACAUUCUUCAUAUCUAUCUAUCUAUCUAUAUAUAGAGAGAGAUAAAAUUGAAACUGCUUUAUUGUUUUGUCUGGCUAUAAAUGUAAUACACAGAUGGAAGACAUGCCCAUGCAUAAACAAGAAGGUGAAAAUCACCUGUAAUCUGCCACGCCCCCCAACCCCUGUAACAGUCAGAGUUAUAAUUUUGGCAUGUACUCUGACUAUUCUUUCUAAUGCAUGUUUCUUGCACACAGCUAAUUCCCCUCCCUUCCAAGAUUGGGUUCAUAUAACAUAUAAUGUUUUAUAACACACAGCUAAUUCCCCUCCCUUCCAAGAUUGGGCUCAUAUAACAUAUAAUGUUUUAUAACCUGCUUUUUAAAUUUAAAAAUACAUUGUGAAUAUCUUUCCAGUUAUUAAUAUUCUUGUACAGCAUUAUUUCAAUAGCUCUCAUUAUAUAAUAUGGUGCAUUCUCAUUUAUUUCACUGAAUACUUAGGUUUUUUGCAUGUUUUCAGUAUGCUCACAGUAAUGUGAUGCAUGUUUUUGCCAUUAAUAAUCCUUGUGCAUAACCAUAAUAACCUUUUCAUGAUAAAUUCAUAGAAGUAGAAUUGCUGGACCAAAAAAUGUGCACAACUUUAAGGCUCUUGAUACUAUAACCAAUUGCCCUUCACCAUGGCAGCACAGUCUGCACUCCCAGCAACAGAAUGCGAAUGGGCUCCUUUAUUCACACACUCAUCUACCUGAAAUAUUAUAUCUGGUGAAUAAUUUUGGUGAUCUGUAAAAUACAUUUCUAAAAUGCACUCCUUUUUUGUAUAUUUGUUGUCUAAACAACUCCAAUCUAUAUUAGAAACAAGUCUAUAUUUAAUUUUUAUUAGAGUUUAUUAUUCAUUAAAUUACCAACCUCUGGCUUCUUUCUUUCAGUAUAUAUAUUUUUAAAACAUUCACUUGUUUAAACCACCUGGAAAUUCUUUUGGUCUGAAAUGUGAAGGGCUAAAACUUAAAUUUUUUUCAAAUAGCUAACCAAUUGGUUCAGCACACUUUAUCAUAUAAUUCACCCUUUCCCCAUGUGUGUAAAUGCCACCUGUAUCAUGUAAUCCACAUAUUCUAGUGGGUUUAUUCUUAUGUCACUUAAUUUUAAUUAUUGAAAUCAGGAAUUGUAAGUUGACCAGUAUAUACCUAGUAGCUGAUAAUCUCACUGUGGGGAAGAGGCUCUAGCCUUGGAGAAAGUAAACCUUUCUGAUUCUAAAAAGAUGGGUGAGUCUUAUUCCUCCAUCUCUGCAAUUUACCCCUCUGCUAAGACCUAAGGAUGGGGAAAACAGGACGUCCUCAUGGCCAGGAAGCAGGAAUCUAGAAUUCAGAACAAGGCUAACCAGCAAUGAAGCCCUGGGGUCACAGUGAAAAACAAGAUCCACCUUAGGGAUUCUGACACUUUGGAAGUCAGCUAAGUUCUGGGACCCUCAUAAGAAAUUAAAAACGAAGAGUUUGGGGCACUCUGAAAAUACUGUUCUCAAGCUUUUAGAUCAAUAAAUAAAUCCAUAGAGUCACACCUCAGUUAAGUCAAUGACCUCGCCGUCCCUGUGCUUGAAAUACCAGCUUUUUAAAUGUAGGAAAUAAUAAUAUGUUUAGCCACUUUAAUAACAAAUUCUACUUCUGUGAAAAAAAGAGGUACAAAUUAGUGUAAAUAGUGCUUUCUUAUCUAACCCUACUUCUGAGCAAGCUGGGUAUUCACACCACAAACCCAGUCAGGACAAUGCACCUCAAUCCGGGGUGGUGAACUGUACUUUUAGGCAAAAAUAGAGAAAAUAAAUUACCUGGACUGGCUGGAACACUAAAAAUAGAAAGUAAGAGGUGAUACAUCAGAUUAGAUAAAGGACACAGUAACAUCAUUUUUAUGCUGUUCACACAAACCGGCUUGGGUGGGGCAAGUGCUGGACGCUAAUAGGUGGCGCAAGGUUUCUUCCCCACCUCCCAUUCCGUUGCUGGGCUCCCCGUAUUUCCUGCUUCCUUUGUGGGUAAUAGCUUCAUAAACUGCCCGCAGAUCCUUUUGGAACUAGGUAGUGCAAAAAUAAAUAAAAAUACAAUUCUUAGGUGCUUUCCAAUGUAGUGUAAAGUUGAAUUUUAGUAUUCAAUUUAAUAAAAAUGAAAAGAGGAAUUAUUUUGUUUUAAUCUCUCAUCACUUUUUUCAGGGGUGGUUUUGCUUUUUCGCACUCAUGCCCGAUGCUGGCAGCCAGGUGGGUGUCGUCAGUGGCACUUGCCUACACAGGAGGUCACAGCUGCUCAGCUACAGGCAGGUAUAUGGUUUUCUGAUUACUUGCUUUGCAAAAGUCGGAUCAUGUUUUAACUACUCAAGAAGCAUUCCUGGCAAUCUCCCCAAAUCAUUCUUUUAAGUCAUUCUUUUGAUGGCUGCAUGAUAUUUUAGGGUGUGUGUAGAUCACAAUUUAUUUAGUGAUUCCCUAUUGAUGAACUUGGGGUUGCAUCCAGUUUUUGUUUUGCCCAAAUGAAAUUGACAUAAUCAUCUUUGUAUAUAUAUUCUUACAUAAUAAUGCUUUUACUUUAUAGGAGACAUAUUCUUGGGAGUGCUGAGUUAGAGUAUGUGAUUCAUUAUUAGGUUUUGCAAACUGUUUUCCAAAAGGCUGUAGUGUCUCAUAAUACCAUCAGCAACCCCUGUUGGGUGUCCUUGUCCACAUCUUCUCCAGGAUUGAGUGGUAUCACUCUUUUAUGUUUUCACCCACCCAGUG
Manis javanica (Malayan pangolin) is the source of this 3523-nucleotide long non-coding RNA. RefSeq lists it as uncharacterized. NCBI's taxonomy places the organism in Eukaryota, Metazoa, Chordata, Mammalia, Pholidota, Manidae. The record is from RefSeq and is a predicted model, not a curated record.